RNAcentral lists this ribosomal RNA (661 nucleotides) under uncultured Methanomicrobiaceae archaeon. Its description in RNAcentral is "bacterial SSU rRNA". It matches the Rfam family "Archaeal small subunit ribosomal RNA", at positions 135 to 802 of the family's 1478-position model. Lineage: Archaea; Methanobacteriati; Methanobacteriota; Methanomicrobia; Methanomicrobiales; Methanomicrobiaceae. The record is from RNAcentral.
GGAAACUGGGGAUAUACCCUAUAGACUAUGGAUGCUGGAAUGCUCUGUAGCCGAAAGGUCCGCCGCUGUAGGAUGGGUCUGCGGCCGAUUAGGUUGUUGUUGGGGUAACGGCCCAACAAGCCUGUAAUCGGUACAGGUUGUGGGAGCAAGAGCCCGGAGAUGGAUUCUGAGACACGAAUCCAGGCCCUACGGGGCGCAGCAGGCGCGAAAACUUUACAAUGCGGGAAACCGUGAUAAGGGAACUCUGAGUGCCCGUAAAAUCGGGCUGUCCAUCAGUUUAAAUAACUGGUGAAGAAAGGGCCGGGCAAGACCGGUGCCAGCCGCCGCGGUAAUACCGGCGGCUCGAGUGGUGGCCACUAUUACUGGGCUUAAAGCGUUCGUAGCUGGUUUGUUAAGUCUCUGGGGAAAUCUUCCGGCUUAACCGGAAGGCGUCUCAGGGAUACUGGCAGACUAGGGACCGGAAGAGGUGAGAGGUACUCCAGGGGUAGGAGUGAAAUCCUGUAAUCCUUGGGGGACCACCUGUGGCGAAGGCGUCUCACCAGAACGGCUCCGACAGUGAGGGACGAAAGCUGGGGGAGCAAACCGGAUUAGAUACCCGGGUAGUCCCAGCCGUAAACGAUGUGCAUUAGGUGUAUCGGUGACCACGAGUCACCGAGGUGCC